AUUGAACGCUGGCGGCAGGCCUAACACAUGCAAGUCGAACGGUAACAGGAAACAGCUUGCUGUUUCGCUGACGAGUGGCGGACGGGUGAGUAAUGUCUGGGAAACUGCCUGAUGGAGGGGGAUAACUACUGGAAACGGUAGCUAAUACCGCAUAACGUCGCAAGACCAAAGAGGGGGACCCUCGGGCCUCUUGCCAUCGGAUGUGCCCAGAUGGGAUUAGCUUGUUGGUGGGGUAACGGCUCACCAAGGCGACGAUCCCUAGCUGGUCUGAGAGGAUGACCAGCCACACUGGAACUGAGACACGGUCCAGACUCCUACGGGAGGCAGCAGUGGGGAAUAUUGCACAAUGGGCGCAAGCCUGAUGCAGCCAUGCCGCGUGUAUGAAGAAGGCCUUCGGGUUGUAAAGUACUUUCAGCGGGGAGGAAGGGAGUAAAGUUAGUACCUUGGCUCAUUGACGUUACCCGCAGAAGAAGCACCGGCUAACUCCGUG
This 490-nucleotide ribosomal RNA is filed under the name uncultured bacterium. RNAcentral's name for it is "partial 16S ribosomal RNA". It matches the Rfam family "Bacterial small subunit ribosomal RNA", at positions 30 to 507 of the family's 1533-position model. The record is from RNAcentral.